Molecule: ribosomal RNA, 440 nt
Filed under: uncultured bacterium
Lineage: Bacteria
Description: partial 16S ribosomal RNA
Rfam family: Bacterial small subunit ribosomal RNA
Source: RNAcentral
CCUACGGGUGGCAGCAGUAGGGAAUAUUGCUCAAUGGGGGAAACCCUGAAGCAGCAACGCCGCGUGGAGGAUGAAGGUUUUCGGAUUGUAAACUCCUUUUGUUAGAGAAGAUAAUGACGGUAUCUAACGAAUAAGCACCGGCUAAGUACGUGCCAGCAGCCGCGGUAAUACGGAGGGUGCAAGCGUUACUCGGAAUCACUGGGCGUAAAGAGCGCGUAGGCGGGAUAGCAAUUCAGAUGUGAAAUCCUAUGGCUUAACCAUAGAACUGCAGUUGAAACUGUUAUUCUAGAGUAUGGGAGAGGUAGGUGGAAUGCGUGGUGUAGGGGUAAAAUGCGUAGAGAUCAAGAGGAAUACUCAUUGCGAAGGCGACCUGCUAGAACAUAACUGACGCUGAUGCGCGAAAGCGUGGGGAGCAAACAGGAUUAGAUACCCCGGUAGUC